This 329-nucleotide unclassified non-coding RNA is filed under the name soil metagenome. Its description in RNAcentral is "partial contains 5.8S ribosomal RNA, internal transcribed spacer 2, and large subunit ribosomal RNA". The stretch from base 1 to 120 matches the Rfam family "5.8S ribosomal RNA", at positions 35 to 154 of the family's 154-position model. The record is from RNAcentral.
GAUGAAGAACGUAGUGAAAUGCGAUAAGUAAUGUGAAUUGCAGAAUUCAGUGAAUCAUCGAAUCUUUGAACGCACAUUGCGCCCCUUGGUAUUCCGAGGGGCAUGCCUGUUCGAGCGUCAUUAUAACCCCUCAAGCUCAGCUUGGUGUUGGGGCCUGCUGCACUGGCAGCCCUUAAAAUCAGUGGCGGCGCCAUCUGGCUCUAAGCGUAGUAAUUCUUCUCGCUAUGGAGUCCUGGUGGAUGCUUGCCAUCAACCCCCAAUUUUUCUAUGGUUGACCUCGGAUCAGGUAGGGAUACCCGCUGAACUUAAGCAUAUCAAUAAAGCGGAGA